RNAcentral lists this ribosomal RNA (272 nucleotides) under uncultured bacterium. Its description in RNAcentral is "partial 16S ribosomal RNA". It matches the Rfam family "Bacterial small subunit ribosomal RNA", at positions 333 to 602 of the family's 1533-position model. The record is from RNAcentral.
UUUGUCCUACGGGCGCAGCAGUGAGGAAUAUUGGUCAAUGGGCUUACGCCUGAACCAGCCAAGUCGCGUGAGGGAAGACUGCCCUAUGGGUUGUAAACCUCUUUUGUCAGGGAGCAAUUGGCGCUACGUGUAGCGUUAUCGAGAGUACCUGAAGAAAAAGCAUCGGCUAACUCCGUGCCAGCAGCCGCGGUAAUACGUAGGUGGCGAGCGUUAUCCGGAAUGAUUGGGCGUAAAGGGUGCGUAGGCGGCCUGCUAAGUCUGGAGUGAAAGGU